GAUGAACGCUAGCUGCAGGCUUAACACAUGCAAGUCGAGGGAACGGCGCACGGGUGAGUAACACGUACCACACCUGCCCUUUACUCGGGGAUAGCCUUUCGAAAGAAAGUUUAAUACCCGAUAUAAAGGAUGGGGAUGCGUUCCAUUAGGUUGUUGGUGAGGUAACGGCUCACCAAGACUUCGAUGGAUAGGGGUUGUGAGAGGAAGGUCCCCCACAUUGGAACAGAGACACGGUUCAAACUCCUAGGAGAGGCAGCAGUGAGGAAUAUUGGUCAAUGGGCGCUAGCCUGAACCAGCCAAGUAGCGUGAAGGAUGAAGGCUUAUGAGGCGUGAAUUUCUUUUAUAUAAGAAUAUGUAUUAUAUGAAUAAGGAUCGGCUAACUCCGUGCCAGCAGCCGCGGUAAUAC
RNAcentral lists this ribosomal RNA (406 nucleotides) under uncultured bacterium. RNAcentral describes it as "partial 16S ribosomal RNA". It matches the Rfam family "Bacterial small subunit ribosomal RNA", at positions 28 to 526 of the family's 1533-position model. The record is from RNAcentral.